RNAcentral lists this ribosomal RNA (253 nucleotides) under uncultured bacterium. Its description in RNAcentral is "partial 16S ribosomal RNA". It matches the Rfam family "Bacterial small subunit ribosomal RNA", at positions 524 to 776 of the family's 1533-position model. The record is from RNAcentral.
UACAGGGGGUGCAAACGUUGCUCGGAAUCAUUGGGCGUAAAGCGCACGUAGGCGGAUCGUUAAGUCGGGGGUGAAAUCCUGGAGCUCAACUCCAGAACUGCCUUCGAUACUGGCGAUCUUGAGUCCGGAAGAGGUGAGUGGAACUCCUAGUGUAGAGGUGGAAUUCGUAGAUAUUAGGAAGAACACCAGUGGCGAAGGCGGCUCACUGGUCCGGUACUGACGCUGAGGUGCGAAAGCGUGGGGAGCAAACAGG